AGAAAAAGUAGUUUUAUCAGGUAAAGCGAAUGAUUAGAGGCUUUGGGGAAGAAACUUCCUCGACCUAUUCUCAAACUUUAAAUAGGUAAGAUUUGAAGGAUACUUAAGUGAUCUCUCAAUACAUUGAAUAUAAAGUUCUUAGUGGGCCAUUUUGGUAAGCAGAACUGGCGAUGUGGGAUGAACCGAACGUUAAGUUAAAGUGCCAAAUAAUACGCUCAUGAGAUACCAUAAAAGGUGUUGGUUCAUUUUGACAGCAGGACGGUGGCCAUGGAAGUCGGAACCCGCUAAGGAGUGUGUAACAACUCACCUGCCGAAUGAACUAGCCCUGAAAAUGGAUGGCGCUUAAGCGUAUAACUUAUACUUAACCCUUACUUGAAUUAUUAUAACGAGUAAGGAGUAGGAGGGCGUAAAGUUUCUAUUAUAUGGCUGUUAAGCAUCUAAGCGUAAGCUUAUGUGGAG
RNAcentral lists this ribosomal RNA (459 nucleotides) under uncultured eukaryote. Its description in RNAcentral is "eukaryotic LSU rRNA". It matches the Rfam family "Eukaryotic large subunit ribosomal RNA", at positions 989 to 1447 of the family's 3401-position model. The record is from RNAcentral.